UAUGGUGAAGCACAAGUUGUGUGGAGUAAAAAGGGAACCCGGUGAGAAUCCGGGACAGUCACCACUACUGUAUUGCGGACGAAAAAGCAGAUGCCAUUGAAAGAAAUUUCGAGAAGGCGCUUUGGAGGAUGAAGCUAAGUCAGGAGACCUGCCAUAUUGG
This 160-nucleotide non-coding RNA is filed under the name pig gut metagenome. The record is from RNAcentral.